This 253-nucleotide ribosomal RNA is filed under the name uncultured bacterium. RNAcentral describes it as "partial 16S ribosomal RNA". It matches the Rfam family "Bacterial small subunit ribosomal RNA", at positions 524 to 776 of the family's 1533-position model. The record is from RNAcentral.
UACAGAGGGUGCAAGCGUUGUUCGGGAUUAUUGGGCGUAAAGGGUGCGUAGGCGGCGGGGUAAGUCUGAUGUGAAAUACCGGGGCUCAACCCCGGAACUGCAUUGGAUACUGCCUUGCUAGAGAACUGGAGAGGAGACUGGAAUUUACGGUGUAGCAGUGAAAUGCGUAGAGAUCGUAAGGAAGACCAGUGGCGAAGGCGAGUCUCUGGACAGUAUCUGACGCUGAGGCACGAAGGCCAGGGGAGCAAACGGG